This 545-nucleotide ribosomal RNA is filed under the name Achromobacter insolitus. Its description in RNAcentral is "bacterial SSU rRNA". It matches the Rfam family "Bacterial small subunit ribosomal RNA", at positions 161 to 701 of the family's 1533-position model. The record is from RNAcentral. Lineage: Bacteria; Pseudomonadati; Pseudomonadota; Betaproteobacteria; Burkholderiales; Alcaligenaceae.
AGCUAAUACCGCAUACGCCCUACGGGGGAAAGCAGGGGAUCGCAAGACCUUGCACUAUUGGAGCGGCCGAUAUCGGAUUAGCUAGUUGGUGGGGUAACGGCUCACCAAGGCGACGAUCCGUAGCUGGUUUGAGAGGACGACCAGCCACACUGGGACUGAGACACGGCCCAGACUCCUACGGGAGGCAGCAGUGGGGAAUUUUGGACAAUGGGGGAAACCCUGAUCCAGCCAUCCCGCGUGUGCGAUGAAGGCCUUCGGGUUGUAAAGCACUUUUGGCAGGAAAGAAACGUCGUGGGUUAAUACCCCGCGAAACUGACGGUACCUGCAGAAUAAGCACCGGCUAACUACGUGCCAGCAGCCGCGGUAAUACGUAGGGUGCAAGCGUUAAUCGGAAUUACUGGGCGUAAAGCGUGCGCAGGCGGUUCGGAAAGAAAGAUGUGAAAUCCCAGAGCUUAACUUUGGAACUGCAUUUUUAACUACCGAGCUAGAGUGUGUCAGAGGGAGGUGGAAUUCCGCGUGUAGCAGUGAAAUGCGUAGAUAUGCGG